CGGGAGGUUGGUGCGGACGGGUGUCUCGCCAACCCGGUCAGGUCCGGAAGGAAGCAGCCGUAACGAGUUUUGCCCGGGUCGCUGCCAGCCUCCCACCC
RNAcentral lists this signal recognition particle RNA (98 nucleotides) under Rhodospirillaceae bacterium. RNAcentral's name for it is "signal recognition particle sRNA small type". It matches the Rfam family "Bacterial small signal recognition particle RNA". From Rfam's summary of the family: The signal recognition particle (SRP) is a universally conserved ribonucleoprotein involved in the co-translational targeting of proteins to membranes. Archaeal SRP consists of a 7S RNA and homologues of the eukaryotic SRP19 and SRP54 proteins. The record is from RNAcentral. Lineage: Bacteria; Pseudomonadati; Pseudomonadota; Alphaproteobacteria; Rhodospirillales; Rhodospirillaceae.